RNAcentral lists this ribosomal RNA (253 nucleotides) under uncultured bacterium. RNAcentral's name for it is "partial 16S ribosomal RNA". It matches the Rfam family "Bacterial small subunit ribosomal RNA", at positions 524 to 776 of the family's 1533-position model. The record is from RNAcentral.
UACGGGGGGCGCAAGCGUUACUCGGAAUCACUGGGCGUAAAGAGCGUGUAGGCGGGUAAAUAAGUCAGGAGUGAAAUCCUAUAGCUUAACUAUAGAACUGCUUUUGAAACUGUUAAUCUAGAAUAUGGGAGAGGUAAAUGGAAUUUCUGGUGUAGGGGUAAAAUCCGUAGAGAUCAGAAGGAAUACCGAUUGCGAAGGCGAUUUACUGGAACAAGAUUGACGCUAAGACGCGAAAGCGUGGGGAGCGAACAGG